GAUGAACGCUAGCGAUAGGCCUAACACAUGCAAGUCGAGGGGCAUCACAUGAAGUAGCAAUACGGAUGGUGGCGACCGGCGCACGGGUGAGUAACACGUAUGCAACCUGCCUUCAACAAGGGGAUAACCCGUUGAAAGACGGACUAAUACCCUAUAACACAGGGGUCCCGCAUGGGAAUAUUUGUUAAAGGACAACCGGUUGAAGAUGGGCAUGCGUUCCAUUAGCUAGUUGGCGGGGUAACGGCCCACCAAGGCAACGAUGGAUAGGGGAACUGAGAGGUUUAUCCCCCACACUGGUACUGAGACACGGACCAGACUCCUACGGGAGGCAGCAGUGAGGAAUAUUGGUCAAUGGACGCAAGUCUGAACCAGCCACGUCGCGUGAAGGAAGACGGCCCUACGGGUUGUAAAGCUCUUUCGGACGGAAAGAAAUCGCCGCCUCUAACAUAGGCGGUGGAUGACGGUACCGUAAGAAGAAGCACCGGCUAACUACGUGCCAGCAGCCGCGGUAAAUACGC
This 518-nucleotide ribosomal RNA is filed under the name uncultured bacterium. RNAcentral's name for it is "bacterial SSU rRNA". It matches the Rfam family "Bacterial small subunit ribosomal RNA", at positions 28 to 528 of the family's 1533-position model. The record is from RNAcentral.